GCUAUUGGGACUACAAUAGCUUGGCCAUCUGACAAAGUUGUUAUGCUUUGAAAAUCUACAGUCCAAUAUUGGUGAAGAUGAUGACCUCCCUCAAUUCAAUAGCAAUGUAGUAAAUUAGUUAUUAUGUUUUUGCAGUUUGUUAAAUUUUAGUAAGUAGUCCAUAAUGGACCUAGACACAACUUGUUGGUUGGACUAGUUUUUGAAUUUCUUGUAUGCUACAAAUUAAUUAUGUAUCAUUUUGAACUAUUAAAUGAAUUAUUUUGUUUAUGGCUGUCAA
Molecule: long non-coding RNA, 277 nt
Organism: Rosa chinensis
Lineage: Eukaryota; Viridiplantae; Streptophyta; Magnoliopsida; Rosales; Rosaceae
Exons: 2
Source: RefSeq, a predicted model, not a curated record